GUGGGGAAUAUUGCACAAUGGGGGAAACCCUGAUGCAGCAACGCCGCGUGAAGGAAGACGGUUUUCGGAUUGUAAACUUCUAUCAAUAGGGACGAAGAAAGUGACUGUACCUAAAUAAGAAGCCCCGGCUAACUACGUGCCAGCAGCCGCGGUAAUACGUAGGGGGCAAGCGUUAUCCGGAAUUACUGGGUGUAAAGGGUGAGUAGGCGGCAUGGCAAGUAAGAUGUGAAAGCCCGAGGCUUAACCUCGGGAUUGCAUUUUAAACUGCUAAGCUAGAGUACAGGAGAGGAAAGCGGAAUUCCUAGUGUAGCGGUGAAAUGCGUAGAUAUUAGGAAGAACACCAGUGGCGAAGGCGGCUUUCUGGACUGGAAACUGACGCUGAGGCACGAAAGCGUGGGGAGCGAACAGGAUUAGAAACCCCAGUAGUCC
Molecule: ribosomal RNA, 429 nt
Filed under: uncultured bacterium
Lineage: Bacteria
Description: bacterial SSU rRNA
Rfam family: Bacterial small subunit ribosomal RNA
Source: RNAcentral